Molecule: ribosomal RNA, 253 nt
Filed under: uncultured bacterium
Lineage: Bacteria
Description: partial 16S ribosomal RNA
Rfam family: Bacterial small subunit ribosomal RNA
Source: RNAcentral
UACGUAGGGUGCAAGCGUUGUCCGGAAUUAUUGGGCGUAAAGAGCUCGUAGGCGGUCUGUCGCGUCUGCUGUGAAAACUCAGGGCUUAACCCUGAGCUUGCAGUGGGUACGGGCAGACUAGAGUGCGGUAGGGGAGACUGGAAUUCCUGGUGUAGCGGUGAAAUGCGCAGAUAUCAGGAGGAACACCGGUGGCGAAGGCGGGUCUCUGGGCCGUAACUGACGCUGAGGAUCGAAAGCAUGGGGAGCGAACAGG